RNAcentral lists this ribosomal RNA (427 nucleotides) under uncultured bacterium. RNAcentral's name for it is "partial 16S ribosomal RNA". It matches the Rfam family "Bacterial small subunit ribosomal RNA", at positions 355 to 774 of the family's 1533-position model. The record is from RNAcentral.
UGGGGAAUAUUGGACAAUGGGCGAAAGCCUGAUCCAGCCAUGCCGCGUGUAUGAAGAAGGCCUUCGGGUUGUAAAGUACUUUCAGCGAGGAGGAAGGCGUUGUGGUUAAUAACCGCAACGAUUGACGUUACUCGCAGAAGAAGCACCGGCUAACUCCGUGCCAGCAGCCGCGGUAAUACGGAGGGUGCAAGCGUUAAUCGGAAUUACUGGGCGUAAAGCGCACGCAGGCGGUCUGUCAAGUCGGAUGUGAAAUCCCCGGGCUCAACCUGGGAACUGCAUCCGAAACUGGCAGGCUAGAGUCUUGUAGAGGGGGGUAGAAUUCCAGGUGUAGCGGUGAAAUGCGUAGAGAUCUGGAGGAAUACCGGUGGCGAAGGCGGCCCCCUGGACAAAGACUGACGCUGAGGUGCGAAAGCGUGGGGAGCAAACA